RNAcentral lists this long non-coding RNA (4188 nucleotides) under Mytilus galloprovincialis (Mediterranean mussel). Lineage: Eukaryota; Metazoa; Mollusca; Bivalvia; Mytilida; Mytilidae. The record is from RNAcentral.
UGACAUACAAUCACAUUUAUCAAUAUACAGCAAGUAGGUAAUUUGUGUUGAAUGCCAGUAGGUCAGAAUUUGUUAAUUGAAUUUUACCUGUAAAAGGGUCACUACUAGCUGUCAAAUUCAUGUUCAUCGAUUUUAAUCAAAUUCACAUAACGUGUGGUGUUGAAUUGUUUAUUAAAAUUCCACGCACAAUCUUGGCUGAUAUGCAUAAAACCAUUAUUUCAUGAACCUGCAUGAAAUAUUGACUUAUCACAGAACUAAAAAAAUAAACCACCGAAAGUCCACAUAAGAGGGUAUGGUGGAUGUGAAUUAACAGAAUAGAGAAUAACGGGCAAAGAAAAAAAGGAACAAAGAAUAGUGAAAGAAAAAGAAUAAUGGUAAAACGUGUAAGUCAUUAAAAAUAUAGCUUAAAAAAAAGAAGCCUCUGUCAUCAAUUUGAGGAAUUUACCCAAGGUUAAUUUUACGGCGGCUUAUUUUAUUUUGGAUUAAAAAUAAACACAAUUGACAAGUUUCCUUCCCCUGCAUUUUCGAUCGCACAUGUAAAUAGCACGUUGGUCUCAAAUAAGACACUGAUACAUUACAACACUUGCCGUCAGUAUAUGAAAAUAUUAAUUAAGAAGGUAUAGAAAAUUAAUGCACGCACACUAUUAUCCUUCACAGGCCUAAAUCGUUAGUCCGCAAACAACGAGGGUGAUAAAAAAAACCCAGCACUUUGAACACAGCCACCGGCAUGCUAUGAAUUUGAAAGCUUCCCAAAUUAGCAACUAUCAAUUUCUACCCAUAGAAAACUUUUGUCCUUCUUUAUGAAAAAUGAAAUAUGUUGAUAUUAAUGGUAUAAAGGUUAAAUCAAUUUAUUCAUAUAUUUGACCGACUAGAAUUAAUUGGGGAAUUUAAACCAAUUCCUAUUGUAAGUGAUAAAACUAUUAAAAUUUAUAUCAGAUCAUAUCAGGGUGAUUGAAAUGAGGAAAAGGGGGGGGUGGUGGUGAUCAGGUAUUUUUGGGGGAAGAAAGAAGGGAGGGUGAGUCCCUUGGGGGUAAUCCUCACCCCCUUCAAUUUGAGAAUAUGCUAUUAUCUUGUAAACGGUUUAGAUCCCACCCCCUAAACCAUAUAUAUUCUUGAAUGGGACAAUAAAACGAAUCAAUUAAAAUUAAAGGGAAGUCCCUGGGGGUCACCCCACCCCGUUCAAUUUGAGAAUGUGCUAUUAUCUUGUAAACGGUUUAGAUCCCCACCCCUAAACCAUAUAUAUUCUUGAAUGGGACUAUAAAACAAAUCAAUUAAAAUUAAAGGUUAGUCCCUGGGGUCACCCAUCCCCGUUCAAUUUGAGAAUGUGCUAUUAUCUUGUAAACGGUCCAGAUCCCCACCCCUAAACCAUAUAUAUUCUUGAAUGGGACGAUAAAACAAAUCAAUUAAAAUUAAAAGGAAGUCCCUGGGGGUCACCCAUCCCCGUUCAAUUUGAGAAUGUGCUAUUAUCUUGUAAACGGUCCAGAUCCCCACCCCUAAACCAUAUAUAUUCUUGAAUGGGACGAUAAAACAAAUCAAUUAAAAUUAAAAGGAAGUCCCUGGGGGUCACCCCAUCCCGUUCAAUUUGAGAAUGUGCUAUUAUCUUGUAAACGGUCAAGAUCCCCACCCCUAAACCAUAUAUAUUCUUGUAUUGAACAAUUAAAACACAUCAAAUGAAAUAUAGGGAGAGUCCAUGGGGGGUCACCCCCACCCUCACAUGUUUGAAAAACUUUUAAAUGGUUGAGAUCCCCAGUGGUUAAGUGAAAAAAAUUCCGGAUCACAGGGGGAGGAUUCUAGGGGUUGGAAGUUCAACUUGGAACCCCCCUUUUUUUUUUUGGACAAUCAAUGCAUUUGAAUGGGAACAUAUAGUUGGAACCACCCCUCCUAAAUCCUUGGGUUGGGAACAGGGAACCCCCUUUAUAAAAUGGCUGGAUCCAUCCAGGCAUACCAUCUAGCUAGCUAUUAAGGCUUUAAAAAUAUGAAAUAAAUCAAACAAGGAAAUUAACGGUGUAGGCAACUGUUUUGAAUUUUAAAAAAAAAGCCUUUAUUAACAAUGUUAAAUUUUGUGUGCAUUUAUUUUUGCUUAUUUUCAAUAACAAAUAAAUAAUGGACAGAAUUGCGUGAUUGAUUAUUGUAAUUUACGAAAAAUCUGCAUACAUGUUAUAAAAUGGGAAGUAGAAACUGGGAAUUUGUCAAAGAGACAACAACACAACCAACCAAAGAGCAGACAACGGCCGAAGGUCACCUAUGGGUCUUCAAUGCAGUGAGGAAAUUUUGGCACUGGUCUUCAGCUCAUAAAUAUGUCUCAGAAAUGAGAAUGAUAUACAGCUCUCAUUUGCAUUAAUAAAAACCUCACAAUAUGUUCUGAAUAUCAGAAUAUACAGUAUUGCAAGAUACUCUCAUAUUGUACACAUGGAGCUGAGAAACUGUAAAAUUAAUCAUGCUAAUUUAACAUUUAAGUCCUCGGAAUCAAUCUUAAUAUGCAUACAAAGGAAUAUAAGUAUGCAAAAGACAUAUAUAUAUAUAUGGUCUUCAAAAAUAAGAGUAUCAAUGCUAUUAAUUUAUGACAAGAUCUUAAUCAAGUAAUAAUUUUGGUUUGUUUAAAUAUUUCGGAGGUUAGUAUGACCUCCUUUUUUGUGAUGAUGUUUUCCUUUUAAGCUGGGAAAAAUUGUUUGUAUCAACAAAAAUAAAAAACACAAAGUUAAUCUAGAAUUAUGUUUUUAUCAUUUUUUUAUGUUUAGAUCAUGUAGAUUGUCAGCAAGAUGAAAAGAAAAAAAAAUAUGCAGCUCAAAAGUCAAAAUGUGGAUAAGCUGAGGUUCAAGGUCCUACUUUUGCAGAUUUUCAUAUUUUGCAUGAAUGAAUUUAAAGUUUAUACCAUGGACAGCAGAGAAAGAAAAAAAAAACUUUUCAAUUUUCCUGCUUCUGAAGAAUAAAUGUAAAACAUCUUGUUUUUGCUUGUUUGUGUUAUUCAUCUGUCCAGUUUCCUAAAUUGUAUCCUCUUUAAUUUCAGUAAGUAGCCUGUGUAUUUACAUAUAUAGUACUAAUAUUAAGAUUUUCAUGACAUCUGUCGAAUGCUUGUUAAUCAUGUUUAUGUUCCAGAACAUAUGAGUAUUAAGACUACGCGUACAGUCUGCCCAAUUUUAAGAAGUUGGUCAAGUUUAUUAGAAACAAAUAUACAUUACAGAUCAACAUAACUGAAAUCUUUAAUAGAUUAAUACAAAAAGUUUAAUUGCAGUAGAAAUAAAAAUACAUGUUUGGUUGAGCUCUGGUAUUAGACAGUACAAGUACCGGGUAUACUCAAAUGGUCUGAUUGUAUGCAUAUGGUCGGACUGUAAGAGUAUACUUAUAUGUUUCGGACCGUAAACGUACGGUCCAAAUACUUAUAUGGUCUGGAACAUUUAUACAUGUCUUAAAAUUAGUAUCUGACAAACACGUUGGUGUUUGUGAACUUGGUAAUAAGUUAUUCGAUAGAAAUAUAAUGUUUUCAGAUUAUAAAAAUAAAAAAUAUCCCAUAUUUACUUUUAAUAAAGAAGAAGAUUAUUGAUGUAUGUAUAACUGUAAAAUGAGACAGCAAGCCAACAACACAAAAAAUAAGUAUAAAACAAUAUAUUUUUUUUGUAUCAAUGUUAUAAUUUCCAAUAUGUCCGAAGAUUUCAAGGUAUUUUUACAUUGAAAUUAAAACACAAAUUGAACUCUGUCAGAACUUCUUCAAAAGCUUAAAGAUAUAUUGUUUCUGUUGUCUGCAUUUUGUAUAAUAUAUUGAAAAUUCUAGUGAAUAAUGGAAUAUGUUAUUAUAAUUGCCUAAAGUUUUAACAUUGAUCUUUAUAUAUAUAUGAUAUAUAUAACUUGGAAAAUACCCAAAUAUUUUAAAAGAAGAAUAAAUUAAUUGAUUGAUUAUAUAUAUAAUGUAUAUAGAAUAUAUUGGGUAGUAUUAGAAUAGGAAGAUGUGGUAUAUUGCUAAUUUGACAACUCUCCAUCAGAGACCAAAGGAUGUAAGAGGUUAGCAACUGAUGACACUGGACAACCUUUAACAAUCAGUAAAAUCCAUACCGCAUAGCUAUUUUUAUUAAAAAUCAUAUUAUUGCUACAUGUAUGCAAAAAUUUUUAUAUAAUACUUCAGAUUUUAUUGGUUCUUUUUCAGAAGGAUUGAAAUUCAUCACCUAGAAUAAAUGGAGAAAACAUAGAAACAAG